Molecule: ribosomal RNA, 465 nt
Filed under: uncultured bacterium
Lineage: Bacteria
Description: bacterial SSU rRNA
Rfam family: Bacterial small subunit ribosomal RNA
Source: RNAcentral
CUACGGGAGGCAGCAGUGGGGAAUAUUGGACAAUGGGCGCAAGCCUGAUCCAGCCAUGCCGCGUGGGUGAAGAAGGCCUUCGGGUUGUAAAGCCCUUUUGUCCGGAAAGAAAAGCACUGGAUUAAUACUUCGGUGUUCUGACGGUACCGGAAGAAUAAGCACCGGCUAACUUCGUGCCAGCAGCCGCGGUAAUACGAAGGGUGCAAGCGUUACUCGGAAUUACUGGGCGUAAAGCGUGCGUAGGUGGUUCGUUUAGUCUGAUGUGAAAGCCCUGGGCUCAACCUGGGAAUUGCAUUGGAUACUGGCGGGCUAGAGUGCGGUAGAGGAUGGCGGAAUUCCCGGUGUAGCAGUGAAAUGCGUAGAGAUCGGGAGGAACAUCUGUGGCGAAGGCGGCCAUCUGGACCAGCACUGACACUGAGGCACGAAAGCGUGGGGAGCAAACAGGAUUAGAAACCCGGGUAGUCC